This 2890-nucleotide ribosomal RNA is filed under the name human metagenome. Its description in RNAcentral is "bacterial LSU rRNA". It matches the Rfam family "Bacterial large subunit ribosomal RNA". The record is from RNAcentral.
UUAAGUGACUAAGCGUACAAGGUGGAUGCCUUGGCAAUCAGAGGCGAAGAAGGACGUGCUAAUCUGCGAAAAGCUUGGAUGAGUCGAUAAGAGGCGUUUAAUCCAAGAUGUCCGAAUGGGGAAACCCAGUGGGUGAAGAACCCACUAUCAUUAUCUGAAUCCAUAGGAUAAUGAGGCGAACCGGGAGAACUGAAACAUCUAAGUACCCCGAGGAAAAGAAAUCAACCGAGAUUUUGUGAGUAGCGGCGAGCGAAAGCGAAGGAGCCUGUUAGUGAUAGCGGAAGUAUUAGAGGAAUUGGCUGGGAAGCCAAAUCGUAGAGGGUGAUAAUCCCGUACUCGAAAAUACUUUUGUGGUACUGAGCUAACGAUAAGUAGGGCGGGACACGUGAUAUCCUGUUUGAAGAUGGGGGGACCAUCCUCCAAGGCUAAAUACUCCUGAUUGACCGAUAGUGAACCAGUACUGUGAAGGAAAGGCGAAAAGAACCCCGGUGAGGGGAGUGAAAUAGAACCUGAAACCUUGUACGUACAAGCAGUGGGAGCCCGAAAGGGUGACUGCGUACCUUUUGUAUAAUGGGUCAGCGACUUAUAUUUUGUAGCGAGGUUAACCGAAUAGGGGAGCCGAAGGGAAACCGAGUCUUAACUGGGCGAAUAGUUGCAAGGUAUAGACCCGAAACCCGGUGAUCUAGCCAUGGGCAGGUUGAAGGUUGGGUAACACUAACUGGAGGACCGAACCGACUAAUGUUGAAAAAUUAGCGGAUGACUUGUGGCUGGGGGUGAAAGGCCAAUCAAACCGGGAGAUAGCUGGUUCUCCCCGAAAUCUAUUUAGGUAGAGCCUUGAGCGGACACCUUCGGGGGUAGAGCACUGUUUCGGCUAGGGGUCCAUCCCGGAUUACCAACCCGAUGCAAACUACGAAUACCGAAGAGUGAUACUCAGGAGACACACGGCGGGUGCUAACGUCCGUCGUGGAGAGGGAAACAACCCAGACCGCCAGCUAAGGUCCCAAAGUCUAUAUUAAGUGGGAAACGAAGUGGGAAGGCUUAGACAGCUAGGAUGUUGGCUUAGAAGCAGCCAUCAUUUAAAGAAAGCGUAAUAGCUCACUAGUCGAGUCGGCCUGCGCGGAAGAUGUAACGGGGCUCAAAUAUAGCACCGAAGCUGCGGCAUCAGACGUAAGUCUGUUGGGUAGGGGAGCGUUGUGUAAGCGGAUGAAGGUGGUUCGAGAGGGCUGCUGGACGUAUCACAAGUGCGAAUGCUGACAUAAGUAACGAUAAAACGGGUGAAAAACCCGUUCGCCGGAAGACCAAGGGUUCCUGUCCAACGUUAAUCGGGGCAGGGUGAGUCGGCCCCUAAGGCGAGGCUGAAAAGCGUAGUCGAUGGGAAACGGGUUAAUAUUCCCGUACUUGGAUAAACUGCGAUGUGGGGACGGAGCAGGUUAGGUUAGCGUGCUGUUGGAUAUGCACGUUUAAGUUCGUAGGUGGGAAGUUUAGGCAAAUCCGGACUUCCUUAACACUGAGAGAUGAUGACGAGGCUCUACGGAGCUGAAGUAACUGAUACCACACUUCCAGGAAAAGCCACUAAGCUUCAGGUUUAUCUAAACCGUACUGAAAACCGACACAGGUGGUCAGGUAGAGAAUACUCAGGCGCUUGAGAGAACUCGGGUGAAGGAACUAGGCAAAAUAGCACCGUAACUUCGGGAGAAGGUGCGCCGGCGUAGAUUGUAAGGGUUUACCCCUGAAGGUUGAACCGGUCGAAGAUACCAGCUGGCUGCAACUGUUUAUUAAAAACACAGCACUCUGCAAACACGAAAGUGGACGUAUAGGGUGUGACGCCUGCCCGGUGCUGGAAGGUUAAUUGAAGAUGUGAGAGCAUCGGAUCGAAGCCCCAGUAAACGGCGGCCGUAACUAUAACGGUCCUAAGGUAGCGAAAUUCCUUGUCGGGUAAGUUCCGACCUGCACGAAUGGCAUAAUGAUGGCCAGGCUGUCUCCACCCGAGACUCAGUGAAAUUGAAAUCGCCGUGAAGAUGCGGUGUACCCGCGGCUAGACGGAAAGACCCCGUGAACCUUUACUAUAGCUUGACACUGAACAUUGAAUUUUGAUGUGUAGGAUAGGUGGGAGACUUUGAAGUAGUCACGCCAGUGAUUAUGGAGUCGUCCUUGAAAUACCACCCUUUAACGUUUGAUGUUCUAACGAAGAUGACGAAACGUGGUCUCGGACAGUGUCUGGUGGGUAGUUUGACUGGGGCGGUCUCCUCCCAAAGAGUAACGGAGGAGCACGAAGGUUUGCUAAUCACGGUCGGACAUCGUGAGGUUAGUGCAAUGGUAUAAGCAAGCUUAACUGCGAGACAGACAAGUCGAGCAGGUACGAAAGUAGGUCAUAGUGAUCCGGUGGUUCUGAAUGGAAGGGCCAUCGCUCAACGGAUAAAAGGUACUCCGGGGAUAACAGGCUGAUUCCUCCCAAGAGUCCAUAUCGACGGAGGAGUUUGGCACCUCGAUGUCGGCUCAUCACAUCCUGGGGCUGUAGCAGGUCCCAAGGGUAUGGCUGUUCGCCAUUUAAAGUGGUACGCGAGCUGGGUUCAGAACGUCGUGAGACAGUUCGGUCCCUAUCUGCCGUGGGCGUUGGAGAUUUGAGGGAAGCUGUUCUUAGUACGAGAGGACCGGAAUGGACGAACCUCUGGUGUACCGGUUGUCACGCCAGUGGCACAGCCGGGUAGCUAUGUUCGGAAGGGAUAACCGCUGAAAGCAUCUAAGCGGGAAGCCCCUCCCAAGAUAAGAUCUCCCUAGACCUUAAAGGUCUCUAAAGAUCCGUUGAAGACUACGACGUUGAUAGGCUCCAUGUGGAAGUGUAGUAAUACAUGCAGCUAAGGAGUACUAAUUGAUCGUGAGGCUUGAUCAU